UACGGAGGAUCCGAGCGUUAUCCGGAUUUAUUGGGUUUAAAGGGUGCGUAGGCGGCCUUUUAAGUCAGCGGUGAAAGUCUGUGGCUCAACCAUAGAAUUGCCGUUGAAACUGGGGGGCUUGAGUAUGUUUGAGGCAGGCGGAAUGCGUGGUGUAGCGGUGAAAUGCGUAGAUAUCACGCAGAACCCCGAUUGCGAAGGCAGCCUGCCAAGCCAUUACUGACGCUGAUGCACGAAAGCGUGGGGAUCAAACAGGAUUAGAUACCCUGGUAGUCCACGCAGUAAACGAUGAUCACUAGCUGUUUGCGAUACACUGUAAGCGGCACAGCGAAAGCGUUAAGUGAUCCACCUGGGGAGUACGCCGGCAACGGUGAA
RNAcentral lists this ribosomal RNA (372 nucleotides) under uncultured bacterium. RNAcentral describes it as "bacterial SSU rRNA". It matches the Rfam family "Bacterial small subunit ribosomal RNA", at positions 524 to 898 of the family's 1533-position model. The record is from RNAcentral.